UCGCUUUCCCUGCCUUCUGCUCGUGUACGACCGACAUCGGGGUCAGCCCGUCACGUCGCAAUACAUAUACCAACCAUGAUAUAGCAACCAUCAAAGAUCGCAUUUGACAGUUAUGGCAAAGACCCACACCCUCCGCGCGUUCCAAGACGUGACGGUCGCCGACGAGAAAAAUCGUAUCGAUUGAAUCAGCGUCUCGGGGCCAUGGGAGGAUACCGGAGAUCGAUAUGACGGCAGCGGUGCCUUGGCGCUUCUGCACGAUUGCGCGGCCCGCGACCCCCGGGGUGCCGCGUCCAUCAAACAGGGAGAGUUAA
This 311-nucleotide non-coding RNA is filed under the name Mesorhizobium ciceri biovar biserrulae WSM1271. RNAcentral's name for it is "Mesorhizobail RNA 7". It matches the Rfam family "Mesorhizobail RNA 7". Rfam says of the family: Existence predicted via genome wide comparisons with 4 related strains. The record is from Rfam by way of RNAcentral. Lineage: Bacteria; Pseudomonadati; Pseudomonadota; Alphaproteobacteria; Hyphomicrobiales; Phyllobacteriaceae.